RNAcentral lists this unclassified non-coding RNA (298 nucleotides) under uncultured fungus. RNAcentral describes it as "partial contains 5.8S ribosomal RNA, internal transcribed spacer 2, and large subunit ribosomal RNA". Lineage: Eukaryota; Fungi. The record is from RNAcentral.
AACGCACAUUGCGCCCACCAGCAUUCUGGUGGGCAUGCCUGUUCGAGCGUCAUUUACCAUCCCUCGAGUGCUGCCAUGUGGGCUCGGUGUUGGGGAUCCUCCGGCGGGGGCCUUUUUCGCCCCCUCCGUAGGCCCUCAAGGUCAGUGGCGGGCUCGCCAGCACUCCGGGCGUAGUAGCUUUUUAAUACGCCGCCUAGGGGGGCCGUCUGGCGGGCGACCGGCCGUAAAAAACGCGACUCUGCCGGGUCGCAUACCCAAGGUUGACCUCGGAUCAGGUAGGAAUACCCGCUGAACUUAA